AGGAGAUUGGUCUGUAAUUUUCAACUAGGCUGGGGUUUAGCAUUUUUAUAACUCAUUUGUUACAACUAUGGUUGAAUGUUGCUUCAGUGGGCAAGGGCGUACUAAAUUUUAUCUGUAGACACUGAUGCUAUAGGAUGGAAGAGAUAAGAAAAAGUAAUGUGAGUUUUGGUAGCAAAAGGUGGGAUAAGCAAAAGUUUCAAGUAUGGAAGAAGAGCCUGCUUAUAAGUGCUGCAGUAUUGCAAAGGGUGGCAUCCAAUUUUGCUCAGGUUUCAAAUCACUACAGAACAAAAAAAAAAUUUUUUUCCAGUUCCCUGGAUCAACUAGCUGUACGAAAUCAGAAAAACCUACAGCUGCUUCUGAACUGUUGCAAAUCUUUGUGUGGAUGUUCCCACUGUGAAACUAUGUUAUGGGACUGGUGAGAAACCAACUUCUGUGUGCAAGCAGUGAAUUUUGUUGCUAUAUUUCAGAUAAAAACAACUAUUCCUGGGCCCAACUAUCUAUAUAUCAUAACUUCCAAAGUUACUGGUUUUUGCAUUUUAGCUUUUUUUUUUUUUUACAGAAAUUAUGGCAAGAAAAUGAAGACUUGAAGGCAACCAUCCGUGAAAUACACAGUUCAUCUGCUGGACUCCCAUCCCAGUCACCACCUAAUUCUGGGCUCUUGUUUGAAAAUCCAUAUUCUGCAUCACCAAAAAUUGUUCAGACGAAUCCGGUCUCUCUGAAAAAGUGUCCCAUAUGCGAGGAAGUCUUCCCUAAUGACAUUGGACAACAACAAUAUUUGGAUCAUGUGCAAAAUCACAUUCUCGAUUGUCCAUAUUGCAAUAAAACCUUUGACAGCUCCGACAAGCAAGUGUAUGAUGACCAUGUCUUUUGCCAUCGCUUAGACCAGGCUUAAGCCUGCUUGCAUCACUUGCCCUAAACUAUUACACUAAUGCCUUUUUUAUUUCUUUCCCCCACUUUUUCCAUUUCUCUCCUUUGUAUGAUUUGGCAGGGAUAGAUACUUGAUCUGCUAAAAUUGACAUAUCAUUGGGCCUGAAGUGCUGAUACAUGUGUUAAAUAAUAGAUUAUGCUGUUGCUUUGGAAGCAGAAUUUUCCAUAUUUAAAUCUUAUAUUUAAAAAUAAGAUGCUUCCUCCCCCCCCCACCCACCCUAAAUCUUCCAUGAAUAAUGGAUCAUGUUCAUGAUAAGUAGAGAUUUCUAGCUUUGCUAGAAAGAAUAUCUCUAGCAUAUGGGCUCCAGCACAAGUCUGAAAGUUUGGGAGAGAAAACCUCUGGUCCCUCAGACUGGAUCCUACAACAUUAUCCUGGGACACGUAUAUUCACCUUCUUUUGUGAUUUCUAGCUCUGCCUGUCGUAAAGAAUAAAAAUUGCAUUUUUGCUUGCUUUGCUUGUUUUAUGCCUGUUUAGGCAAAGCAACAAUGUGCCAUAACUGUUGUCAGGGAGCUCACUCUCAUAUCAGAAAGUUAUCUAAAGAAUGAACCCAAUUUUUUAAUGACAUUGAGAUUGAUAAAGGCACUGACAAGUUUUCACCAGUAUUGUCACUGUAUGGAAAGGAUUAAAUAAAAAAGAAUGUUUUUUUAAAAUAAAAUAUUAAUACUUUUUAGGGCUUCAGCAUAGUCAAUUUAUUGGAUUCUUCAGAUUGGACUGUAGUAUCAUAUCUCCAGCAUUAAGGAGUUGCAAUAAUCUUAUAACCAGAAUCUCUUUAUGAUAAUGUAGAAAUGUGCUGUUUUGUUGAAAUUUUUCUUUCUAUAUGACUGGAUUGUCAAAAGACCACGCUUAUAAUUAAGAAUACUGCAUUAGAACACAACACAUGCGUGGAAUUCCUUUUCUUGAGAAAUCACAAUAUUAUUUUUUAGUUUAACUGUGCACUUUCUACUCUUUAAGACUGAAUACUGUAAUAGAGAUAAGCUGUUUACAUACAGAUUAUAUACUAUGUAUUGAUUAGCUAAAUAAUUAAUAUUAUAUGUAGCAAAAUCUAUUUUAGUAAUAUUUUUGUCUUUUAAGUUCUAUUACUGCUUUAUAAAUUGGGGAAAUGUUUUCCAGUUUGUAACAAUGGAGUACUUACUCCAUUGCCAUCACUCUGCUAAACACCUCACUCUCACAGUGCUGUCUAAUAUCUCUAUAUAUAUUAACCCAUAUAGCAUGGUUAUAGUGUUAUUAUUUAUCCUUAUUUUCUUUACUUGCUCUUUUAUUUACAUUAUGAUGAUUAUGAUUAUUUUGCUUUGCAUAUACACCGAGUGCUUCUGUUCCAGAGACAAAUUCCUUGUGUGUCUAAUCAUAUUUGGCCAAACAGAGCAUUUAAUUUAAUUCAGUUUAGAUAAUUAAAUAAGUUUUGGAUGAUCUUUUCCAAGUACUUAUUGAUUACUUAUUGAAAAUAUAUCAAAUUCUUUUCAGAAUAGAGAUAUGCAUAUCCAGUGAAUCCUAUGUAGUCAAUUCUAAAUAUUUUACCUUCUACUACUAAAGUUAAUGAGACCAUUUUACUACUUAAUAUAUUAACUCAGAUAAUUAAGCAUACCAGAAAAAACAGGAUUAGUCUAGUUUCCAGAAGACACUCAGAAAUAAAUUAAACAUCCUGCCUUAUCAGUUGUAAAAGUAGUUUCUUCCUUUAUAUUUUCUGUUUGUUCUAUGUGCCAUCUGUUUCUUUUGAUUAAGUUCUGUAGCUUCCUUGAAAAUUUACUUUGGCUGUCUACACACUUGGCUGCUUUUACCAAAAUAAAAUUAUUAUCUGGAUACUCUCUAAUUGUUGGUCUUCCUUGGUGAGAUUUCUACCAUAGGAGCUGCAUAAAGAUUGUAACAGAUGUGCUGUAUAAAGAUGCCUUAAGAUAUUUUGCUGCCUGAAGUAAUGCCCAAUAUUUUAUUUUCCCAGUUUCAUAUAGAGAAGCUGAAUGGAUUGGCAGUAGAAUUUUUCCUCAAUGACGCACAGAUGUAAAAUGGUUUACACAAAUGAAAUUGCAAUAAAC
Molecule: long non-coding RNA, 2955 nt
Filed under: Pseudonaja textilis
Lineage: Eukaryota; Metazoa; Chordata; Lepidosauria; Squamata; Elapidae
Description: lncRNA (ENSPTXG00000013888.1)
Source: RNAcentral